CGUCAGGAUGAACGCUGGCGGCGUGCUUAACACAUGCAAGUCGAACGAUGAUGCUGGUGCUUGCACCGGUGGAUUAGUGGCGAACGGGUGAGUAACACGUGAGUAACCUGCCCCUGACUUCGGGAUAAGCCCGGGAAACUGGGUCUAAUACCGGAUAUGACUUCCUGCUGCAUGGCAGGGGGUGGAAAGAUUUAUCGGUUGGGGAUGGACUCGCGGCCUAUCAGCUUGUUGGUGAGGUAAUGGCUCACCAAGGCGACGACGGGUAGCCGGCCUGAGAGGGUGACCGGCCACACUGGGACUGAGACACGGCCCAGACUCCUACGGGAGGCAGCAGUGGGGAAUAUUGCACAAUGGGCGAAAGCCUGAUGCAGCGACGCCGCGUGAGGGAUGACGGCCUUCGGGUUGUAAACCUCUUUCAGUAGGGAAGAAGCCCCUUUUGGGGGUGACGGUACUUGCAGAAGAAGCGCCGGCUAACUACGUGCCAGCAGCCGCGGUAAUACGUAGGGCGCAAGCGUUAUCCGGAAUUAUUGGGCGUAAAGAGCUCGUAGGCGGUUUGUCGCGUCUGCCGUGAAAGUCCGAGGCUCAACCUCGGAUCUGCGGUGGGUACGGGCAGACUAGAGUGAUGUAGGGGAGACUGGAAUUCCUGGUGUAGCGGUGAAAUGCGCAGAUAUCAGGAGGAACACCGAUGGCGAAGGCAGGUCUCUGGGCAUUUACUGACGCUGAGGAGCGAAAGCAUGGGGAGCGAACAGGAUUAGAUACCCUGGUAGUCCAUGCCGUAAACGUUGGGCACUAGGUGUGGGGGACAUUCCACGUUUUCCGCGCCGUAGCUAACGCAUUAAGUGCCCCGCC
RNAcentral lists this ribosomal RNA (849 nucleotides) under Arthrobacter sp. MOLA 412. RNAcentral's name for it is "bacterial SSU rRNA". It matches the Rfam family "Bacterial small subunit ribosomal RNA", at positions 22 to 873 of the family's 1533-position model. Lineage: Bacteria; Bacillati; Actinomycetota; Actinomycetes; Micrococcales; Micrococcaceae. The record is from RNAcentral.